AUUGGCCGUUCCAAACUACUUGAUU
Molecule: unclassified non-coding RNA, 25 nt
Filed under: Latilactobacillus sakei
Lineage: Bacteria; Bacillati; Bacillota; Bacilli; Lactobacillales; Lactobacillaceae
Description: Lactobacillus sakei ctRNA_pT181
Source: RNAcentral